GACGAACGCUGGCGGCGUGCUUAACACAUGCAAGUCGAACGGUGAAAGGGAGCUUGCUCCCUGGAUCAGUGGCGAACGGGUGAGUAACACGUGGGCAACCUGCCCCAGACUUCGGGAUAACGCUUCGAAAGAGGUGCUAAUACCGGAUACGAACUCCUUGGGCAUCCUUGGAGUUGGAAAGUUUGUCGGUCUGGGAUGGGCCCGCGGCCUAUCAGCUUGUUGGUGAGGUAACGGCUCACCAAGGCGACGACGGGCAGCCGGCCUGAGAGGGCGACCGGCCACACUGGGACUGAGACACGGCCCAGACUCCUACGGGAGGCAGCAGUGGGGAAUAUUGCGCAAUGGGCGAAAGCCUGACGCAGCAACGCCGCGUGAGGGAUGACGGCCUUCGGGUUGUAAACCUCUUUCAGCAGGGAAGAAGCGAAAGUGACGGUACCUGCAGAAGAAGCACCGGCUAACUACGUGCCAGCAGCCGCCGUAA
This 481-nucleotide ribosomal RNA is filed under the name uncultured bacterium. Its description in RNAcentral is "partial 16S ribosomal RNA". It matches the Rfam family "Bacterial small subunit ribosomal RNA", at positions 28 to 523 of the family's 1533-position model. The record is from RNAcentral.